CAGCCUUUUCUACAUACUAUGGCCUUCUGUAUUCCUCACACAAUUCACUUCCAACAAGCACCAUACAUCUUAAGCAACACCCUCUUUCAAACCUGGUACAAAACAUACUUUACUUUCUCCCUUUGGUUAUCAAUAUAGCAAGGCACUGUUCGCCUGUGUUACCAUGAGUGUUGUCAUAACACAAUCAGACUGCUCAAGUAAAACCGCAUGCUGUUGAAGUACUAAUGAAAGACUGUUUAAAAAGGCACCAAUAUAGAACCAUUGCACGUUGUUUAGGGACCUCAUCUGGUCCUAUGAAAAGUGAAGGAUAAUAACUUAUUCAGAGACCAACUAAGGGGCUUCCACUAGCAAAACAAAAACACUUUCAUAACCAUAAUACAUAUUAGUUAUAAUAUUUUUAUUAAAAACAAUGAAUAUCCAAAAUGUUAGGACUAAAGCAGACUAGAAGUUGAGGCAACGAGAAUUUCAUUAAGAACUUAACAGUGCUCUGCAAGGUAAGGUUGUCAGUGCACUGUAACAGCAAGACACAUAGAAUCUAAAAUCUAAAAGUAAUAAACAUACCCACACUGUGGGUGGUUACUUGUUUGUGAUGAAGCCACGGUUAUACAGUCAGUGAAUGGACACCAAUACUGUACAAUGCGGCUAGUGAAGAUGUGUCAGCUGUUUUACAGAAAACAUGUAAUAAACCCCAAUGAAACAAUAAUUACAAGAUGUGACCAAGUUUGGAAUCGAAAGGGUUAGAAUGAAAAUAUUAUUUUCAGAGAUUGUGGUAGAAUGAAUUUACAGGUUUAUAAGCUUGUUAACAACAGUUGAAGCUAAUUUACAAAUGGUACUGUAGUCUUUCACCUUACAAUAAACAGUCUGAUCUUGUCCUUACAACCAAGCGCUUCAAUAACCCUUUGGAAAUGUUACCAAAAGUAAAGCCUAAAUGCUCAUUUUUACUCUGUAGGUUUCAUUCAACCUUUUGACAGACCAUGCACUUGAACACUUGGUCACUCAGAUUUUUGUUGUUGUUGCAAAACAGCACAUUUCAUACCAUUUAAUUGAAAUAUAGUCUUCCAGCAGGAGUUUUUUGAAGCAACAUGUCCUUCACACAUUUGGCUAAUAUUAUGUCUGCAAUGAAUGAAUGCACCAAUGAGCCUUUACAACAGUAUGAUGCCAAAUAGUCAAAUGGCAAAAGAGAUGUAAUAUUUUUUAACAAGUUAAUGUUCACAUACAGGGAUGUACAUUGUUGUCUCCAAGUACAGGAAAUAGCCAUCAUGUGAUACGCAUGUGUCACGUCAUCUAAUCUCUUCUGUCUUGUUAAAUUCUCCUCUUCCAGCACUGUAUAUAUAAAGUUAUUUCUUUGAAAGAGACAGCUGAGUUGAAGAGUUGCUCCUUUUGGGAGGGAGAUCUGGACAGUGUGUGUGUGUGUGUGUGUGUGUGUGUGUGUGUGUGUGUGUGUGUGUGUUUGUCUAGGUUGGGGAUGGCAGUGACCAUUUCCAUGAUUUGCCAGGGUAAAGUCAUGGAGUACUUUGGGGGCAAUGGAGGCAGUGAAAGAGGAGUUAGCUGUGAAACCUUUGCUCUCAACUGUCUGAGCUCUCCCCCCUCUCUUUCUCCCCCUCCACAUCAUCAUAUAUUCUUCAUUAGAAACAAGGUAGCUACACAACAACACAAAAUGUAAAUGUUACCAUUGUUAACAAGAGUAAUCAUGUUAAAAGUUGUAAGAAUAAUAAUAUCAGAAAUCCGUCCCUAAUGGCGUCUGGCGCUCUUGGCGGACCCCUACCCCCGAAGGCUUAGCAAUGGUUUAACACUUGUGCUUCAUGGCCAGCU
This 1812-nucleotide long non-coding RNA is filed under the name Salmo salar (Atlantic salmon). RNAcentral describes it as "lncRNA (ENSSSAG00000112949.1)". Lineage: Eukaryota; Metazoa; Chordata; Actinopteri; Salmoniformes; Salmonidae. The record is from RNAcentral.